AACUCAUUUAUAAAGGAUUAUCCUUUUUUUAGAA
Molecule: transfer RNA, 34 nt
Filed under: Phengaris alcon alcon
Lineage: Eukaryota; Metazoa; Arthropoda; Insecta; Lepidoptera; Lycaenidae
Also listed under: 7 other names
Description: partial transfer RNA-Leu
Source: RNAcentral